GUACCCACUUUGUCAGCACAUAUACUGAAAUUGGAAAGACACAGAGAAGAUUAACAUGACCCCUAUUCAAGGAUGACACAGAUUGGUAAAACAUUCCAUAUUAAA
Molossus molossus (Pallas's mastiff bat) is the source of this 105-nucleotide small nuclear RNA. NCBI's taxonomy places the organism in Eukaryota, Metazoa, Chordata, Mammalia, Chiroptera, Molossidae. The record is from RefSeq and is a predicted model, not a curated record.